GUUGUUGCACGGUUUUCACGGCUCGCUGCCCGGAUACGCUAAAACGCUGUCCGUGCCUGAGCUAGAAGCCAGCACAACUCAUACGAGAACCAUCAGUGACGUUGUACGUGACUAACCUGUGCUGAAGAGGAAUAAAAGUCGCAAGUGAGAUCCCUUUGUUGUGCGAAUCUGUUCACCCACGCCGCGCACAUCCGCCAUCACGGAAGGCGGCAGCACGACUGUCAUUACCCGAUCGUGACGGGUGCAUCGAUUGUGACGGUUUGCUACUGCGCACGCGCAGAUCAACGCCAUUUUCUCCCGAGGGAUGACGGGAGAUAUAGAUUUAUGCGUUAGGCUCGGACAUUGAGGGUUUUUUAUGCGUGUGUGUACGCCGCUAUCUUCGAGUAGCAUGAAAUGCUUGAAAAUGUCUUAAUAGAUACUUCGAGUGAUCCGAGAAGAUGAAUGUGGAUACCUAGCAUCUUCCAAGGUACCUGGUCGACGGAACGCUUCCAACUACUCAAGUGGGCGCCGUAAGAUUCGACGAAUGGUGCGUGAUUUCAUUGUUAAAGAUAAAAGACCCCCCCAAUGAAAUAUAUGCGCCUGGUCAUCAAGUCAAAGGGGAAGCAGACUAUCCUCAUGGAGUGUCAAAAUAACUCUGGGAACUAGAGCGGCGUCGAGGCCAUUUCUAGCUUCUAUUGGCCAACAAUGAUUCAGGACAUCAAUGAAUGGGCAUGGGCACAGAUUUGCCUUCUGGACAGAGAAAGCGUCCCCUCUUCUUCAGGGAUCUCUACAGCCUGUCUUCAGGGUUCCAAAGGCAACCCCCUCUAUAUCUUACUAAACUUCAAUCAGACAGUUGCCAGAAGUAUUGACUGCCAACAUACAUGAAAAAGUUGUCCUUCGGGAAGGUGACCGUGCUAUAUGCACAUUGGCGCUUGUGUGGUCCAGAAUCAGAGACCUUGGUUCUCCAGACUCCUUCAGAAGACGGCCACAUUUUAAAUGGCUUAACAGUGUCUGGACAUGGAGCAGGUUCUGUGCAGAAUUCAGGAGAGAGUAUUACAACAUGUACACCAUUGAGAUCUGCCAUGGGUAUGGGGAGCAGUUCAAACAAUCCCCACGAGGAUUUGUUGGAGAGGAGAAAAGGGGUAAAGUAACGGCGUUUUACUGCGAGGAGGAAACACCUACAGGAUACUGCAGUUGUUCCUGCUGUCCAAUGCAUUAAACUGUAAUGUUUUUGUUUGAGUUUGUUCUACACAUGCACAUUAAAACUGUUUCAGCUUAA
Molecule: long non-coding RNA, 1258 nt
Organism: Corythoichthys intestinalis (scribbled pipefish)
Lineage: Eukaryota; Metazoa; Chordata; Actinopteri; Syngnathiformes; Syngnathidae
Exons: 6
Source: RefSeq, a predicted model, not a curated record